CGUGUAGCCGGGCCGACAAGUCAGAUGUGAAAUCCACGGGCUUAACCCGUGAACUGCAUUUGAAACUGUUGGUCUUGAGUAUCGGAGAGGUAACCGGAAUUCCUAGUGUAGCGGUGAAAUGCGUAGAUAUUAGGAAGAACACCAGUGGCGAAGGCGGGUUACUGGACGACAACUGACGGUGAGGCGCGAAAACGUGGGGAGCAAACA
RNAcentral lists this ribosomal RNA (207 nucleotides) under uncultured bacterium. Its description in RNAcentral is "partial 16S ribosomal RNA". It matches the Rfam family "Bacterial small subunit ribosomal RNA", at positions 568 to 774 of the family's 1533-position model. The record is from RNAcentral.